GGGGCCGUAAUGGUUUCGACAGGUGUGUGGAACGAAGAUAAGCGAGCCGUGGUGGUGAUCCACGUAAAAAGUACCCGUUAAAAAGAAACGCUAAAACAAACAACAACUUCGCACUGGCUGCAUAGUUCAGCCCCGCGCGUCGGCCUCAGGUCACCUGCAGCCUGAGAAUCCGGCGUCGACCAUGCAGGGACCUUAUGCGUGAGCUCCCGGUAGCGCAUGAGUAUCUACGGGAUAGCGUGGCCUUGAGUUUGCCGUAUUGGCGAUAGGCGCGCGAAAUCACAGCAAGCGGCUGCGCUCGGAGAAAGUCUUCCGGAAGUACUCUUGGACGCGAGUUCGACUCUCGCCGGCUCCACCA
Molecule: transfer-messenger RNA, 355 nt
Filed under: Anaerovoracaceae
Lineage: Bacteria; Bacillati; Bacillota; Clostridia; Peptostreptococcales
Also listed under: 1 other name
Description: RUG099 sp902788245 Standard tmRNA
Rfam family: transfer-messenger RNA
About the family: Bacterial tmRNA, also known as 10Sa RNA or SsrA, is named for its dual tRNA and mRNA-like properties.
Source: RNAcentral